RNAcentral lists this ribosomal RNA (792 nucleotides) under uncultured bacterium. Its description in RNAcentral is "bacterial SSU rRNA". It matches the Rfam family "Bacterial small subunit ribosomal RNA", at positions 8 to 794 of the family's 1533-position model. The record is from RNAcentral.
AGAGUUUGAUCCUGGCUCAGGAUGAACGUUAGCGGGAGGCUUAAUACAUGCAAGUCGAGCGGUAAGUUUUUAUAGCAAUAUGAAGACCUAGAGCGGCGCACGGGUGAGUAACGCGUACACGACCUGGCCUAAACUGGGGGAUAGCCUUGGGAAACUGAGAGUAAUCCCGCAUGUGAUUAUGUUACUGAUGGUGAUAUAAUUAAAGCUUCGGCGGUUUGGGAUGGGUGUGCGUCUGAUUAGCUAGUUGGUAGUGUAACGGACUACCAAGGCGAUGAUCAGUAGGGGGCGUGAGAGCGUGACCCCCCACACGGGUACUGAGACACGGACCCGACUCCUACGGGAGGCAGCAGUAAGGAAUAUUGGUCAAUGCCCGGAAGGGUGAACCAGCCAUCCCGCGUGAAGGAUGAAGGGGCUCUGCCUUGUAAACUUCUUUUGUAUGGGGCGAAAAAAGGGGAUUUAUCCUCGACUGACGGUACCAUAAGAAUAAGCACCGGCUAACUCCGUGCCAGCAGCCGCGGUAAUACGGAGGGUGCGAACGUUAUCCGGAAUCACUGGGUUUAAAGGGUGCGUAGGCUGUUUAAUAAGUCAGUGGUGAAAGGCCGUCGCUUAACGAUGGGACUGCCAUUGAUACUGUUAGACUUGAAUCAGGUUGAGGUUGGCGGAAUGUGGCAUGUAGCGGUGAAAUGCAUAGAUAUGCCAUGGAAUACCGAUUGCGAAGGCAGCUGACUGGACCUUGAUUGACGCUGAGGCACGAAAGCGUGGGUAGCGAACAGGAUUAGAUACCCCGGUAGU